Long non-coding RNA from Pan troglodytes (chimpanzee), 841 nucleotides. RefSeq lists it as uncharacterized. The transcript is spliced from 4 exons. The record is from RefSeq and is a predicted model, not a curated record. Lineage: Eukaryota; Metazoa; Chordata; Mammalia; Primates; Hominidae.
GAGACCAAGGCUGGGACACUUAAGACUUUUAUAAAGUCCUUCUCCCUCAGCUGGAGGGAGCAUGGCAUUGAGCCAAGGAGACGGGACCCUCUGCUUUGUCCUCCUGCUGUGCUGCUGGCAAGAAGUGAAGACCUGGCCAAUAAGAAUGAAUUCAGGUAGAGUCCCAAGUAGAUGGUUGGGCAAACAGAAAACCAUGGGUCUGAAUCAGGCAGGUGACAGUCUCUUCUCCCAUGAGUCCUUCUCUGCUGUGGUUUGAAUGUGUCCCCUCAAAAAUUCAGGUAUUUAAACUGAUAGUGAUAACAUUAAAAGGUGGGACCUUUAAGAGGUGAUUGGUCAAAAGGGUGCUCCCUCAUGAAUGGGAUUAAGGCCCUUAUGGAAGAGGCUUUGUGCAGCAUUUGUCUCUCUUGACUUUCACCAUGUGAGGACACAGGGUUCCUCCUCUCCAGAGGACUCAGCAACAAGGCGCCAUCGUGGAUGCUUACAGCAGCCUUUGCAAGACACCAAACAAGCCAGUGGCUUGAUCUUGGACUUCCCAGCCUCCAGAAACAUACAAAGUCCCUAUACAACCAUGAACUCUGAGAACUGCAUCACACAUGGCUUGGGGCCCCCAAUGGAUCCCCUGAUGUAGUUGGGGCUCAAGUUCUGGACUGCUGUCAAGUUAGUCAAGUUUUAAAAAUAUGGAUGACGAUAUGACCACAGUAUUUGGGCUCUGCAGGUGAUGCUAAAGUACAGCCGGCUGAGAACCGCUGCCCUGGGCCAGGGCCGUCCAAUAGAAACACAGCAUGAGCUGAAGAUGUGCUUUUCAUUGUCUAGUGGCCACAUUAAAAAGAUGCAGAUGAAA